AUGGCUCUUACUCAGCGUUCACUCAAAUGCAUGGAGACACUCGUUGAGGCUGGUGCCGAUAUUAACUGCAAGGGUUGCGCCAUGUCUCCAUUGGUAUAUGCUACAAUGCGAGAAGGUUGUACCAACUUCAUUCGGUUUCUGUUGAAGGCUGGAGCAGAUCCUAAUAUCCCCGAUGAUUUGGGUAGGUUGCCGGUAGUGCUUGCUGCAAUACGUGAUUGCAUGGAAGAGGUUGAAAUGUUGUUUCCUUUAACUUCCCCAAUUCCAAAUGUCCCAAACUGGAGUGUUGAGGGAGUAGUUUCUCAUGCAAAAAUUGAAGAUAAGAAGCCAAUGGAGCUAAGGGACCAUCAAAGAAGAAAAAAUUUCUUGAAGUUACUAGCUGAUGCGGCAUUCGAGCAGAAGGAGUAUAAGAUUGCAUCACAGUUCUAUGAUACGGCAAUAUGUCAUGAAGAGUGUGCAACACUGUAUUGCAACAGGAGUCUUUGUAAACUGCUCAUGGGUGAUGGUAAAGGUGCUUUGUCAGAUGCUCAAAGGUGCAGUGCUGCGACCUCAUUGGGCAAAAGCUUGAUGUCAUCUAGGUGCAGCUCACAUGCUACUCAAGGAGUAUGA
This 606-nucleotide ribosomal RNA is filed under the name Triticum aestivum (bread wheat). RNAcentral describes it as "partial small subunit ribosomal RNA". The record is from RNAcentral. Lineage: Eukaryota; Viridiplantae; Streptophyta; Magnoliopsida; Poales; Poaceae.